AUUGAACGCUGGCGGCAGGCCUAACACAUGCAAGUCGAGCGGAUGAAGGGAGCUUGCUCCUGGAUUCAGCGGCGGACGGGUGAGUAAUGCCUAGGAAUCUGCCUGGUAGUGGGGGAUAACGUCCGGAAACGGGCGCUAAUACCGCAUACGUCCUGAGGGAGAAAGUGGGGGAUCUUCGGACCUCACGCUAUCAGAUGAGCCUAGGUCGGAUUAGCUAGUUGGUGGGGUAAAGGCCUACCAAGGCGACGAUCCGUAACUGGUCUGAGAGGAUGAUCAGUCACACGGGAACUGAGACACGGUCCAGACUCCUACGGGAGGAAGCAGUGGGGAAUAUUGGACAAUGGGCGAAAGCCUGCUCCAGCCAUGCCGCGUGUGUGAAGAAGGUCUUCGGAUUGUAAAGCACUUUAAGUUGGGAGGAAGGGCAGUAAGUUAAUACCUUGCUGUUUUGACGUUACCAACAGAAUAAGCACCGGCUAACUUCGUG
This 484-nucleotide ribosomal RNA is filed under the name uncultured bacterium. RNAcentral's name for it is "partial 16S ribosomal RNA". It matches the Rfam family "Bacterial small subunit ribosomal RNA", at positions 30 to 507 of the family's 1533-position model. The record is from RNAcentral.